GAUGAACGCUGGCGGCGUGCCUAAUACAUGCAAGUCGAGCGAACGGACGAGAAGCUUGCUUCUCUGAUGUUAGCGGCGGACGGGUGAGUAACACGUGGAUAACCUACCUAUAAGACUGGGAUAACUUCGGGAAACCGUAGCUAAUACCGGAUAAUAUUUUGAACCGCAUGGUUCAAAAGUGAAAGACGGUCUUGCUGUCACUUAUAGAUGGAUCCGCGCUGCAUUAGCUAGUUGGUAAGGUAACGGCUUACCAAGGCAACGAUGCAUAGCGGACCUGAGAGGGUGAUCGGCCACACUGGAACUGAGACACGGUCCAGACUCCUACGGGAGGCAGCAGUAGGGAAUCUUCCGCAAUGGGCGAAAGCCUGACGGAGCAACGCGGCGUGAGUGAUGAAGGUCUUCGGAUCGUAAAACUCUGUUAUUAGGGAAGAACAUAUGUGUAAGUAACUGUGCACAUCUUGACGGUACCUAAGCAGAAAGCCACGGCUAACUACGU
RNAcentral lists this ribosomal RNA (496 nucleotides) under uncultured bacterium. Its description in RNAcentral is "partial 16S ribosomal RNA". It matches the Rfam family "Bacterial small subunit ribosomal RNA", at positions 28 to 506 of the family's 1533-position model. The record is from RNAcentral.